Molecule: transfer RNA, 73 nt
Filed under: Stegodyphus dumicola
Lineage: Eukaryota; Metazoa; Arthropoda; Arachnida; Araneae; Eresidae
Description: tRNA-Ser
Rfam family: tRNA
About the family: Transfer RNA (tRNA) molecules are approximately 80 nucleotides in length. Their secondary structure includes four short double-helical elements and three loops (D, anti-codon, and T loops).
Source: RNAcentral
GCCUUCGUGAUGUAGUGGUCAGCACGCUCGGCUCGAAUUCGAGAGGUCCGUGGUUCGAGUCCCGGCUAGGGCA